AGUCACAGCACCUAAACUAACCUAAGUCAGGAAGCAUCUGUGAUUGGCCAUCCUGAGUCACAUGCCCAUUGUAGCUGGGAGUGGAGUCACGGCACCUAAACCAACGUAAGGCAGGAAGGAGCUGUGAUUGGCCACCCUGAGCCACAUGCCCAUUAGUAGCUGGGGGUGGAGUCACAGCACCUAAACCACACCCUAAGGCAGGAAGGAGGUGUGAUUGGCCAUCCUGAGUUACAUGCCCGUUGUAGCUUGGGGUGGAGUCACAGCACCUAAAGCGCAUGGACUGGAAGUAGAGGGAAGGGCAGUUUCCCAGAGGAAAACCAGAGUGAUAUCAUUAGAAAAAAGAGUUCCUGCUGAGAGGCAAAGAUUUACACAUGCAGACCCCAGCCACUAUUUACUGAGGGCUAGAUUGUACCAGGCACUUUACCUGUGCUGUGAUCAUGUAAUCCUGUCAACUGUGACAACUCUGGUGAGAGGUCAGCUCAGAGGGAGCAGGUUGCAGCUGCCUACACCCCGAAGCCUGCGGCAUCCGGGGCUCUCCUGCCUUGUGCCCUCUGGAUCGUACUCACCUGUGGCCGUGGACCUUGGGCCUGGGAGGAUAGCGGUGAGCCCACCUCCCACGGCUCGCCUUCUGGGGCCGGCUGACUUGCUGGGCCAUUAACCAGCAAAGCCGCAGCAGCAAUAAAAUUAAUUUCCUUCCUAAUAUAUACAAGACUUUCUGCAGGAGAAUUAUGGACCGAUUUGAUCAAAGUGUGCAAAACCCAGCAGGAAGAUAGAAGACAAUAGAGCCGUGAUUUUGACCCAGCCUCCCAGGACACAGAUGGGGUGAAGAAAUCAAAGGGGCAAACAGAAUUUGCAGCCCAAGUUUCGAAGGGGCAGUUGGGAGACAUCUUUAGGCUUUCUGCAACCAAGCCACCGUCUUCCACACAGCAAGAGACAGUUACUCAGUGGAGGAAUAAGCCUUCAGUUGCAUACCGCUCUGUGCAUUGGAUGGGAGGAUUUUGAAACUUUUGGAAGCUCCAUACUGUGGCUUUAUUCCAUGAAUCCACCAGCGCUGUGCACCAAAGUUUCUCUGUGGAGGGAGAACAUAUUUUUGCAGAGCAAGUACAGAUAAGAGGUUGGGUGCCUGAAGCCUGGAUAAUAAUAGAAUGACAGCUGAUGAUUCAUCAGUGCUCUUCAGAGCCAGCUGAUAAUACGUUGCCAGCCUUUCCCCUUUGCUCAGACAGAACAGCCACCCUCACCCACGGGGAUUCCUGCCCAGAAGGAAUUUCCACAGCCCUGUACCAAGCAUGCUUAAAGUGGCUGCCAUUUAUGUGGGGUUUCCAUGUGCCAAGGGGCACGCCAAUGGUCCUUUACAUCAACUCACUUAAUCUUUAUAUCCUCAUGACCGCCCCAGGAGAUACAUAAUAACAUCUACAUUUUAUAGGCAGAGACAGAAGCUUGGCUCAGCAUAACAGAGAGGGAGUGUGGAGCAGUGGUCAGGAUCACAGCCAGUAAAUCCAGAUGACCUGGGUUCAAGUCCCAGUCCUGCCACUUCCCAGCUGUGGGCUUUUGCACAAGUCACAUGGUCUUCCUGUGUCUCAGCCCCCACCCCCCCAUCUGUAAACAAAACAACACUGUAAAAUAACAGUGUCUACCUCAUGGGGAUCUUGCAAAGAUCAAAUAAAGAGCUUUGAAGAACAUCUGACUUAUAGUAAGCUCUGUGUGAGCAUUAGCUCAGAGAUAGUUCUCAUGUUAAACUAAAUAAGUUGCCCAAAGUCACAUAGACAGAAAUUAGCAGUGCUGAUUGUGCAAACCUGCAUCCUGAAGUGAGGCCUUGGAACCAGGGUUGUCCUGGAGCUGGUUUUACCAGCUUGCAAGAGCCAACUGUUAAAUUCUCAGGACUUCUGUGAACCAGUUGUUAAACACAGACAUUAUUAAAAAUUAAAUUAU
Molecule: long non-coding RNA, 1929 nt
Filed under: Homo sapiens (human)
Lineage: Eukaryota; Metazoa; Chordata; Mammalia; Primates; Hominidae
Description: HSALNT0370606
Source: RNAcentral